This 630-nucleotide ribosomal RNA is filed under the name Triticum aestivum (bread wheat). Its description in RNAcentral is "partial small subunit ribosomal RNA". Lineage: Eukaryota; Viridiplantae; Streptophyta; Magnoliopsida; Poales; Poaceae. The record is from RNAcentral.
AUGGAUCAGACGCGCGUCUGGUGGGUUGCGCCGCGCGAGAUCUCCUCCCCCUUUCCUUCGAUCAUUUUCUUUCUGUUUCCUCCGCUCCUUCUUUCCCACGAUCUGGUGCCUCUUUUCCUCUUUCCUUGCCAAAAAGAAACAACUUCCUCGAUCCCCUGUUCCGCCGCCGUGCGACCACAGCAGCCACAUCAUGGCGGCGCGACGAAGCAGCCCACGCCGGCGCCUCACUGCCGCUCCCCUCUCCCUCUAACCUUGCUCCGCCACCCGCCGCUCGGCGCCUUCCGCUCCGCCCGUCGGCCUUCUCCUCCGUGGAUCUCGGCUGGUCGAUCCUGCCCGUGGGCGCGUGGCUGGACCGCCCGACAUCUCAACUCCGGCGCCAACCGGCUCUGCUCCGGCUCUUCCGCCAUCCUGCUCGCCUGCCCCCGACUGGCUCGCCUGCCUCCCGUGCGACCUAUUACCUCCACAACAACAAAAGUAUCAUUAUUCCCCCUGUUUCCCUCUGUAUUUUUCAUUGCAAGUGCAGCAAAGUGCAGCAAAUUUAGAUUUUGUUGUGUUUGUGAAGAGCCAUACCCUUUUAUCGAAAAAAUGCUGCUGAUUGCUUACCUAUUUACUGCUGAAAUCUUGAAGUAG